UACGUAGGGUGCGAGCGUUGUCCGGAAUUAUUGGGCGUAAAGGGCUCGUAGGCGGUCUGUCGCGUCGGGAGUGAAAACACGGGGCUUAACCCCGUGCCUGCUUCCGAUACGGGCAGACUAGAGGUAUGCAGGGGAGAACGGAAUUCCUGGUGUAGCGGUGAAAUGCGCAGAUAUCAGGAGGAACACCGGUGGCGAAGGCGGGUCUCUGGGCCGAUAUUGACGCUGAGGAGCGAAAGCGUGGGGAGCGAACAGG
RNAcentral lists this ribosomal RNA (253 nucleotides) under uncultured bacterium. RNAcentral's name for it is "partial 16S ribosomal RNA". It matches the Rfam family "Bacterial small subunit ribosomal RNA", at positions 524 to 776 of the family's 1533-position model. The record is from RNAcentral.